This 566-nucleotide long non-coding RNA is filed under the name Nicotiana benthamiana. RNAcentral's name for it is "long non-coding RNA (NBEN_LNC029203)". Lineage: Eukaryota; Viridiplantae; Streptophyta; Magnoliopsida; Solanales; Solanaceae. The record is from RNAcentral.
UCUACCUCUUUUCCCUAUAACCUUCUAAUAUCAUUACAAAUUAGUACAAAUUUACAAUUCCAGAUCCAAUUUUUUUUUCUGCAUCUCCGGCUACUUUUCUUUCUCUGCAAAUUUUCAAAGGUACGUAAAGGACUCGUCGGAUUUUAUGUCCGCCGGCGAGGUAGAUUAGUUAGGUGUUUGUUCUGUUGAUUUGGUGGCAGGCGGCGUUGUUUGUGGGUCCAGUUUUGAUAUACAAAAAAAUUAGGGUAAGCGGUUUAUUUGGGCCUGGGCCUGUUGUUUGGGCGGAUCAGCCCAAACUCUGGUCAGUCUCGUGAUUGACAGCUGGAGGUUACUGGUCCGAUUUGUAAGGUCCAAACAUGUGUGAAAAUGAAUAUCUGCCCUGCAUCUUAGGCUGCGGUUGGACCAAAGCGAUUUCGUUUUAAUUUUUGUGGAAAUUAUCGUUAGCGUUAGUUUUUCUCGUGGAAAAAUUCUUCUCCUCCACAAAACAUUCACAAAAUUUAAACGUGUUAUAAAUAGAUUUCUAUUUAAGGUGAAUGUCUAUAAUUAGAGAGAUUCUAGAGUUUUAU